This 253-nucleotide ribosomal RNA is filed under the name uncultured bacterium. RNAcentral describes it as "partial 16S ribosomal RNA". It matches the Rfam family "Bacterial small subunit ribosomal RNA", at positions 524 to 776 of the family's 1533-position model. The record is from RNAcentral.
UACGUAGGGUGCAAGCGUUGUCCGGAAUUAUUGGGCGUAAAGGGCUCGUAGGCGGUCCGUCACGUCGGGAGUGAAAACUCGGGGCUCAACCCCGAGCCUGCUUUCGAUACGGGCGGACUAGAGGUAGGUAGGGGAGAACGGAAUUCCUGGUGUAGCGGUGGAAUGCGCAGAUAUCAGGAGGAACACCGGUGGCGAAGGCGGUUCUCUGGGCCUUACCUGACGCUGAGGCGCGAAAGCUAGGGGAGCAAACGGG